UGGGGAAUAUUGCACAAUGGGCGCAAGCCUGAUGCAGCCAUGCCGCGUGUAUGAAGAAGGCCUUCGGGUUGUAAAGUACUUUCAGCGGGGAGGAAGGCGAUAAGGUUAAUAACCUUGUCGAUUGACGUUACCCGCAGAAGAAGCACCGGCUAACUCCGUGCCAGCAGCCGCGGUAAUACGGAGGGUGCAAGCGUUAAUCGGAAUUACUGGGCGUAAAGCGCACGCAGGCGGUCUGUCAAGUCGGAUGUGAAAUCCCCGGGCUCAACCUGGGAACUGCAUUCGAAACUGGCAGGCUAGAGUCCUGUAGAGGGGGGUAGAAUUCCAGGUGUAGCGGUGAAAUGCGUAGAGAUCUGGAGGAAUACCGGUGGCGAAGGCGGCCCCCUGGACAAAGACUGACGCUCAGGUGCGAAAGCGUGGGGAGCAAACA
This 427-nucleotide ribosomal RNA is filed under the name uncultured bacterium. RNAcentral describes it as "partial 16S ribosomal RNA". It matches the Rfam family "Bacterial small subunit ribosomal RNA", at positions 355 to 774 of the family's 1533-position model. The record is from RNAcentral.